UCUGACUCGCUGGUCGCCUUACUGUAGCAGCACGUAAAUAUUGGAGUUAAGACUAGCUGAAGUCUCCAGUAUUGAUCGUGCUGCUGAAGCAAAGCUGACCACUCACGCUCUG
RNAcentral lists this microRNA precursor (112 nucleotides) under Poecilia formosa (Amazon molly). RNAcentral's name for it is "Danio rerio miR-16b stem-loop (ENSPFOG00000021124.1)". The stretch from base 12 to 99 matches the Rfam family "mir-15 microRNA precursor family". Rfam says of the family: This family represents the related mir-15a and mir-15b sequences. In humans miR-15a and miR-16 are clustered within 0.5 kb at 13q14. The record is from RNAcentral. Lineage: Eukaryota; Metazoa; Chordata; Actinopteri; Cyprinodontiformes; Poeciliidae.